Molecule: ribosomal RNA, 474 nt
Filed under: uncultured bacterium
Lineage: Bacteria
Description: bacterial SSU rRNA
Rfam family: Bacterial small subunit ribosomal RNA
Source: RNAcentral
CGCUAUCACUCCUACGGGAGGCAGCAGUGGGGGAAUAUUGCACAAUGGGCGCAAGCCUGAUGCAGCCAUGCCGCGUGUGUGAAGAAGGCCUUCGGGUUGUAAAGCACUUUCAGUCGUGAGGAAGGUAGUGUAGUUAAUAGCUGCAUUAUUUGACGUUAGCGACAGAAGAAGCACCGGCUAACUCCGUGCCAGCAGCCGCGGUAAUACGGAGGGUGCGAGCGUUAAUCGGAAUUACUGGGCGUAAAGCGCAUGCAGGUGGUUUGUUAAGUCAGAUGUGAAAGCCCGGGGCUCAACCUCGGAAUUGCAUUUGAAACUGGCAGACUAGAGUACUGUAGAGGGGGUAGAAUUUCAGGUGUAGCGGUGAAAAUGCGUAGAGAUCUGAAGGAAUACCAGUGGCGAAGGCGGCCCCCUGGACAAAGACUGACGCUCAGAUGCGAAAGCGUGGGGAGCAAACAGGAUUAGAUACCCUGGUAG